UCCUCCAACCUUUAAAAUCAAACCUUGUUUAAAAAUGUAACGCGUCAACAAAGGGUGAACAUUUGCCUAAGAAGGUUUUGCGAUAUAUCUUCUUUUACCAGUUGCUAAAUUGGAAGUCAUUUUUAAAAAUGAGGCUACUGCUUUAUCUUGCGGUGUUACCAUGCUUGGUUGCAGCAAACUCUAUACGAUGUCCUGAUUAUUCUACGUGCCCAGUAGGAAAAACUUGCUGUGACAAACCGAGUGGCGGUUACAAAUGCUGUGACAUAGAAGAAGACGUGGAAAAAAUUUUCCCUGGAACGGCUACCGGAAUGAACAUGACACAGUCCAAGAGGUUUGACUACAACAAUGGGUGCAUGUACUGUACUGGUACCUGUUGCCCUUCUGGUUGUUGCGAAUAUAGAGGUGCGACUUGCUGCAGCGAUAGAGAAAACUGUUGCCCACGAGGCAACCAAUGUUGCAGGCGUUCUUUCAGCAUUAAAAGCGAAUGGUGUUGUCCAACAUUAGGAAGGUGUGGAUCAACGUUUGGAUACUGCUAUGGAGGAGCAGGUGCACUGAUACCAGCUAUAUCUAGCAUAGGUGCCUUGAUUUUCUUGCUUGCUCUUCGAGGGAACUCUUUCGUUUAGAUGCAAGAUGAAGCCAAAGCUAGUCAAACGUGUUAACAUCAGUUAAAUGAAUACUUUUGUGCAUAAAAAGUAAAAUAGCAACGUCAAGUAGCACAAAUUGCAGAUUUCUGCUGUGACGUGUUUCUUUUUAUCCAUAAGCUCAUUUCUUUUGCAAUGAAAAAGACCUUCCUUGUAACGCUGAAGCACGUGUCUGCGGUAAUCUGCAAUUUGUACUACUUGACGUUGUUAUUUCUGAUUGAACUUCUUAUUUUAAUUGUUAACAUCCUUUAUAUUUUUCUGAAUAAUUGACAAAUAAAUAGUUUCAG
Molecule: long non-coding RNA, 928 nt
Organism: Uloborus diversus
Lineage: Eukaryota; Metazoa; Arthropoda; Arachnida; Araneae; Uloboridae
Exons: 3
Source: RefSeq, a predicted model, not a curated record